UACGUAGGGUGCAAGCGUUGUCCGGAAUUAUUGGGCGUAAAGCGUCCGCAGGCGGCUUUUUAAGUCUGUUGUCAAAGCCCACAGCUCAACUGUGGAUCGGCAAUGGAAACUGGGAAGCUAGAGUGUGGUAGGGGUAGAGGGAAUUCCCGGUGUAGCGGUGAAAUGCGUAGAUAUCGGGAAGAACACCCGUGGCGAAGGCGGCUCUCUGGGACGGUACUGACGCUGAGACGCGAAAGCGUGGGGAGCGAACAGG
Molecule: ribosomal RNA, 253 nt
Filed under: uncultured bacterium
Lineage: Bacteria
Description: partial 16S ribosomal RNA
Rfam family: Bacterial small subunit ribosomal RNA
Source: RNAcentral